AUUGAACGCUGGCGGCAGGCCUAACACAUGCAAGUCGAGCGGAUGAAGGGAGCUUGCUCCUGGAUUCAGCGGCGGACGGGUGAGUAAUGCCUAGGAAUCUGCCUGGUAGUGGGGGAUAACGUCCGGAAACGUGCGCUAAUACCGCAUACGUCCUGAGGGAGAAAGUGUGGGAUCUUCGGACCUCACGCUAUCAGAUGAGCCUAGGUCGGAUUAGCUAGUUGGUGGGGUAAAGGCCUACCAAGGCGACUAUCCGUAACUGGUCUGAGAGGAUGAUCAGUCACACUGGAACUGAGACACGGUCCUGACUCCUACGGGAGGCAGCAGUGGGGAAUAUUGGAAAAUGGGCGAAAGCCUGAUCCAGCCAUGCCGCGUGUGUGAAGAAGGUCUUCGGAUUGUAAAGCACUUUAAGUUGGGAGGAAGGGCAGUAAGUUAAUACCUUGCUGUUUUGACGUUACCAACAGAAUAAGCACCGGCUAACUUCGUG
RNAcentral lists this ribosomal RNA (484 nucleotides) under uncultured bacterium. RNAcentral describes it as "partial 16S ribosomal RNA". It matches the Rfam family "Bacterial small subunit ribosomal RNA", at positions 30 to 507 of the family's 1533-position model. The record is from RNAcentral.